Molecule: small RNA, 477 nt
Filed under: Malus domestica (apple)
Lineage: Eukaryota; Viridiplantae; Streptophyta; Magnoliopsida; Rosales; Rosaceae
Source: RNAcentral
GCCUUUUGGGAGCUCACUGGUUUCAGGUUCUAUCGGAACUUCGAAGUUAAGCGAGUUCGUGCGAGAGCAAUCCCAGGAUGGGUGACCUAUUGGGAAGUUCUCGUGUAUGUCCCAGAAACAAAAUUGUGAGGGCGUGGUCGAGGCCCAAAGCAGACAAUAUCGUGCUACGGCGGAGUCGGGCCCGGGAAGUGGUCAAGCCCGAGGCAGGAUGUGACAGGUUGGUAUUAGAGACAAUCCCUGGCCGGAAGUGUGCCGACGAUGACGUCGGGCCCCUAAGGGGGGUGGAUUGUAACAUCCUACAUCGCCCAAAUGAGUGGAUCCUAUAAGCCUUAUAUGUAUAUUCCCAUCUCUACCUAACACGAGGUUUUUUGGGAGUUCACUGGCUUCGGGUUCCAUCGGAACUCCGAAGUUAAGCGAGUUCGUGCGAGAGCAAUCCUAGGAUGGGUGACCCACUGGAAAGUUCUUGUGUGAGUUCCC